This 1281-nucleotide long non-coding RNA is filed under the name Mus musculus (house mouse). RNAcentral's name for it is "long non-coding RNA chr4:141222078-141223359". Lineage: Eukaryota; Metazoa; Chordata; Mammalia; Rodentia; Muridae. The record is from RNAcentral.
UCUUCUGGAGUGCUGAAGACAGCUACAGUGUACUUACAUAUAAUAAAUAAAUAAAUAAAUCUUUUUUAAAAACCUUAUACAUCUAUUAAUAUAGAAUAAUUAAACAAAAAUCAUAUCUCUAUCAAUAUAGCAUAUAAUAAAGAAAAACCUUAAAGUGAAACAAAAAAAACCUUAAAUUUUUAUCAAUAAACAAUAAUUAAGCAAAACAACCUAAAACCCUAGAUGAUAACAACUAUAACACAUGAAGCAACCAAAACUACCCACCCCUACUUAAGGGAUUGGGACAAUUAAAAAAAAUAUAUAUAUAUAUACAUAUACAUACAUACACACACACACACAUAUAUAUGUGUUUCCUGAUGAAUUGGCGUGAAGAAUUCCUCUUUUGGGCACCAAGGAAAAAGAUUAGCCAGAGUAAAGCUAGCUGUAGCAUUUAUUGCCCAUCUCUGUAUUGUUUGUUGUUUCAGCCCUAAGGGGGAAAAUGGUUAGUCUGAGAAAAGCUAGCUGUAGCAUUUAUUGCCCGGUCUCUGGGUUUAUCCAGUCUCUGCCUUGUCUGUUCAGUCUAUGUAUUGUCCAUCUCUUUGGGAUCAAUCACUUGGGCCAGCCCUUUGGAAGUUGAUUUGUAUGCAGUUUUUUUUUUUUUUAAACAAAUCGGUAACUGAGACAGCCUGCGACUUAUUUGGGCUAUUUGCUUUGUGAUGGGAUUUGAACUCAGGACCCAUGUCUCAGGUGAUAAGAGGUUUUCCUUGGUCAGAUCUGAUUUUUGUAAGUUUUGUUGGUAUCCAUAUUUUUUCAUUCCCUGUAGAUAUAUAAGUAUAACCACACCCCAUCUGAGUGCUAUUGCGGGUUUCCAUUCUAAUGUCAACAUAUCCUUAUACUAUAUUGGUUGACCUAGUUCCUCAAUUUUUUUCCAUAACCCAGUGUCUCUGAGCUGCUGUUGUUCCUUCUUGACCGACAUUAAGAAAAUUGAGAGUUAGCAAUGCAUUAUUUAGCCUGUCUCUCGGUUUUUUUUUUUUACCCUCCCUUUUUGCCCAAUAAGCGUCUCUUUUAAGGUACGAUUGGCUCUUUUUAUAAUUGCUUGUCCUGUGGGAUUGUGUGGUACACCAGUAAUAUGCUUUAUAUUAUAAUAUGCCAAGAAUUGCUCCAUCUUAUUGGAUACAUGUGUGGGGGCAUUGUCAGUUUUGAUUUGUGCAGGUAUCCCCAUAAUUGCCAUUAUUUCCAAUGAAUGUGUAAUUAGACAGUCAGCCCUUUCAGAACUUAAAGCAGCUGCCCAUUGAAACCCUG